This 2601-nucleotide ribosomal RNA is filed under the name Clostridioides difficile. RNAcentral describes it as "bacterial LSU rRNA". It matches the Rfam family "Bacterial large subunit ribosomal RNA", at positions 1 to 2623 of the family's 2925-position model. The record is from RNAcentral. Lineage: Bacteria; Bacillati; Bacillota; Clostridia; Peptostreptococcales; Peptostreptococcaceae.
UGGUCAAGUUAUUAAGGGUGCAGGGCGGAUGCCUUGGCACUAGGAGCCGAUGAAGGACGUGAUAAGCUGCGAUAAGCUUCGGGGAGUUGCACGUAAACUUUGAUCCGAAGAUUUCCGAAUGAGGAAACUCACUUAGAGUAAUGUCUAAGUAUCAUUAAGUGAAUACAUAGCUUAAUGAGGGGAACUCAGGGAACUGAAACAUCUAAGUACCUGAAGGAAGAGAAAGAAAUUCGAUUCCGUAAGUAGCGGCGAGCGAACGCGGAUUAGCCCAAACCAAUAAAGUUUUCUUUAUUGGGGUUGCGGACAUAUCAUAACGAAGAGGUAUCGUAAUUGAAGAGGUUUGGAAAGACCCACCACAGAAGGUAAUAGUCCUGUAUGUUAAACGAGAAGACUUUAGAUAUGAUCCAGAGUACCACGGGACACGUGAAACCCUGUGGGAAGCAGGAGGGACCACCCUCCAAGGCUAAAUACUACCUAGUGACCGAUAGCGUAUAGUACCGUGAGGGAAAGGUGAAAAGAACCCCGGGAGGGGAGUGAAAUAGAACCUGAAACCCUGCACUUACAAGCUGUGGAAGCACAUUUCUUGUGUGACCGCGUACUUUUUGUAGAACGGGCCAACGAGUUACGUUAAGUAGCAAGGUUAAGCACUUAAGGUGUGGAGCCGUAGCGAAAGCGAGUUUUAACUGAGCGUUCAGUUACUUGACGUAGACCCGAAACCGGGCGACCUACCCAUGAGCAGGAUGAAGCGAAAGUAAAAUUUCGUGGAGGUCCGAACCCACGAGCGUUGAAAAGCUCGGGGAUGACUUGUGGGUAGCGGUGAAAUUCCAAUCGAGCCCGGAGAUAGCUGGUUCUCCCCGAAAUAGCUUUAGGGCUAGCCUCAAGGUGAGAGAUACGGAGGUAGAGCACUGAAUGUCCUAGGGGGUAUUGCACCUACCGAAGACUAUCAAACUCCGAAUGCCGUCAUCUUAUACUUGGGAGUCAGACUGUGGGUGAUAAGAUUCAUAGUCGAAAGGGCAACAGCCCAGAUCGUCAGCUAAGGUCCCUAAAUGUAAGUUAAGUGGUAAAGGAUGUGGGAUUGCACAGACAACCAGGAUGUUGGCUUAGAAGCAGCCACUCAUUCAAAGAGUGCGUAAUAGCUCACUGGUCGAGUGAUCCUGCGCCGAAGAUUUCCGGGGCUAAAACUUACUACCGAAGCUACGGCAUCAGUAAUGAUGGGUAGGGGAGCUUCCCAUACGGGUUGAAGCAUGACCGUAAGGACAUGUGGACAGUAUGGGAGUGAGAAUGUUGGCAUGAGUAGCGAGAUGUGGGUGAGAAUCCCACAGGCCGUAAACCCAAGGUUUCCAGGGGAAGGUUCGUCCGCCCUGGGUUAGUCGGGACCUAAGCUGAGGCCGAAAGGCGUAGGUGAUGGACAACAGGUUGAUAUUCCUGUACUACCGAUAACCGUUUGAGAGAAGGGAUGACACAGUAGGAUAAGCUAAGCACACUGUUGGUUAUGUGUGCCCAAGCAUUGAGGCAGUCAAAGUAGGCAAAUCCGCUUUGAUAAUGCUGGGAUGUGAUGGGGAGCGAAAUUUAGUAGCGAAGUAGCUGAUUUCACACUGUCAAGAAAAGUCUCUAUCGAGGUUAAAGGUACCCGUACCGCAAACCGACACAGGUGGGUGAGGAGAGUAUCCUAAGGCCAGCGAGAGAACUGUUGUUAAGGAACUCGGCAAAAUGACCCCGUAACUUAGGGAUAAGGGGUGCCACCAUCAGGUGGCCGCAGAGAAUAGGCCCAAGCGACUGUUUACCAAAAACAUAGGUUUCUGCUAAGUCGCAAGACGAUGUAUAGGAGCUGACGCCUGCCCGGUGCUGGAAGGUUAAGGGGAUCUGUUAGAGCAAUCGAAGCAGUGAACUUAAGCCCCAGUAAACGGCGGCCGUAACUAUAACGGUCCUAAGGUAGCGAAAUUCCUUGUCGGGUAAGUUCCGACCCGCACGAAAGGCGUAACGAUUUGGGCACUGUCUCAACAACAGACUCGGUGAAAUUGUAAUUCCGGUGAAGAUGCCGGAUACCUGCGACAGGACGGAAAGACCCCAUGGAGCUUUACUGUAGCUUGACAUUGGGUCUUGGUACUACAUGUACAGGAUAGGUGGGAGGCUUUGAAACCAGGACGCCAGUUUUGGCGGAGCCAUCCUUGGGAUACCACCCUUGUAGUACUGGGACUCUAACCAUAGGCCAUGAAUCUGGUCUUGGGACACUGUCAGGUGGGCAGUUUGACUGGGGCGGUCGCCUCCCAAAAGGUAACGGAGGCGCUCAAAGGUUCUCUCAGUACGGUCGGAAAUCGUACGUAGAGUGUAAAGGCAAAAGAGAGCUUGAUUGCAAGACAUACAGGUCGAGCAAGGAUGAAAAUCGGACUUAGUGAUCCGGUGGUUCUGCGUGGAAGGGCCAUCGCUCAACGGAUAAAAGCUACCCUGGGGAUAACAGGCUUAUCUCCCCCAAGAGUCCACAUCGACGGGGAGGUUUGGCACCUCGAUGUCGGCUCAUCACAUCCUGGGGCUGUAGUAGGUCCCAAGGGUUGGGCUGUUCGCCCAUUAAAGUGGUACGCGAGCUGGGUUCAGAACGUCGUG